This 24-nucleotide non-coding RNA is filed under the name Arabidopsis thaliana (thale cress). The record is from RNAcentral. Lineage: Eukaryota; Viridiplantae; Streptophyta; Magnoliopsida; Brassicales; Brassicaceae.
AGAAGACUACGGUUGUUUCGAAGC